UGCCAGCCGCCGCGGUAAUACGUAGGUUCCAAGCGUUAUCCGGAUUUACUGGGCGUAAAGCGUCCGUAGCCGGUUGUAUAAGUCUGUUUUCAAAUAUCAUCGCUCAACGAUGAAAAGGGAAUGGAUACUGUAUAGCUAGAGUUUGUGAGGGGUUAGUGGAAUUUCCGGUGGAGCGGUGAAAUGCGUUGAUAUCGGAAGGAACGCCAAAAGCGAAGGCAGCUAACUAUCACAAAACUGACGGUAAGGGACGAAAGUCUGGGUAGCAAACGGGAUUAGAUA
Molecule: ribosomal RNA, 279 nt
Filed under: uncultured bacterium
Lineage: Bacteria
Description: partial 16S ribosomal RNA
Rfam family: Bacterial small subunit ribosomal RNA
Source: RNAcentral